Non-coding RNA from Arabidopsis thaliana (thale cress), 659 nucleotides. The record is from RefSeq. NCBI's taxonomy places the organism in Eukaryota, Viridiplantae, Streptophyta, Magnoliopsida, Brassicales, Brassicaceae.
ACAAAAUAAUAUUAAUUUUCUCGGCGAGGCUUGCAGCGUGGUCGGCAGUCAGCUUCUCCAAUGAGAGUUGUUUGCUUGGGACUCCGAGAUCUGUGGAUCUAUUGGAUGCUCUGUCUUAUAAAGUGUCGGCGAAGGCUCUGGUCUCAUUAUGUUUCCUGUUGCUUGUAGCGGAUCCGUGGUUGUUUGUCUCACUCUGUUUUGCUAGUCCGGUGUAAAAUGUCGCCUUGUCUCCGACGUCACCGUAUCCGGAAGAAAGUGUGAGGUUCCAUGUGUGGUUCUGUCUUUGCGGAUUAUGAAGAUUAGCAUAGGAGUUCUGUUACUUUUAGGCAGUUUGGCAUCUUUAGAGGAGGAUUAGAUUAUCGAUGGUUGGCCACGGGCAUCUUCGAUAUGUACUAUCAAAGGAUCUCUUGAAGUAUGCUUUCCUUGUUGGGUUGGUUUAUGGUCCCAUUUGGUCGAGUGUUUUGUUUUGGUCUGUUCUUGUAGUGGGGUUCUUCUGCUUUCAUUAUAUGUUUGUAUCGGUUUGUAGCCUUGUAGUAUUGUUUCUUUGCUUCCCUUACAUAGGGCUUUAGACUCCAGAGAUAUCUUUGUUUUCUGCUAGCAUAUGGUUGUAAUCUUCCAAAUAUCCUUCAUGGUUUUUAAUAAAAUCUAGAUGACAAAAA